RNAcentral lists this long non-coding RNA (834 nucleotides) under Sinocyclocheilus grahami. Its description in RNAcentral is "lncRNA (ENSSGRG00000040947.1)". The record is from RNAcentral. Lineage: Eukaryota; Metazoa; Chordata; Actinopteri; Cypriniformes; Cyprinidae.
GGGGGACAUUUUGGGUUCUGAGGCCCUGGACGUGGGGACUGGAGCCCUCUCUGGGGUGGGCAUAAGAGCAGAAGCCCUCUCUGGGCUUCAUUUGGGAACAGAGUCCUUCUCUGUGCUUGACGUGGGAACUGGAGCCCUUUCUGGAGCGGACUCAGGGGCUGGAGCCCACAGUCUCUUCCUCCGCAUUCUCCUCUUUUGAGCAGAGGUGAAGGAGACUGCUUCUGUCAGCUGAGGGCUUGGAAGUGAAUCGGCCGGGAAAUAGAAAUAGAAAUCUUUUGUACCAUUUUAAAUGACUUUACUGUCAUUUUUGAUCACUUUAAUGUGUCCUUGAUUAAUAAAAGUAUCAAUUAUACGGUCUCAAACUUCUGAACGGUAGUGUAUGAAUGUUCCAGUUCUUGCUGUUUUCACUGUCAUUAUCACUGCUCGCUUCAGUGUGUGUCUCUGAUUGGUCAAUAGGCAGCGGUGGGUGUGGCCCAGAUAAUCAGAGCGUCAGUGACAUCAUUAACCUCGAGAUGUUGCAACUUGGAUCCAAACUGAAAUCAAGUAACACACAGUCAGGCUGGUCCUGUCCUUCCUGUACAUUCAUAAAUACGUCUACGAGACCCGGCUGUGAAAUCUGCAGCACAGAUCGACCCAAUCCUCCCAAUCACAGCAGCGUUCAGCAGGAAAAAGCAAGAAGAGCGAACCAGUGAAACUCAGCAUACCAAGAUAUUUUGGACAAUGCUUUGCUCUAGCUUUAUGGGAUCAGUUUGAGGAAGGUUCUCUUCUAUUCCAGCAUGACUGUGCCUCAGUGCACAAAGCAAGGUCCAGAAAGACAUGGCUGGAUGAGUCUGG